GAGAGCCAGGACGAACCCCCGGCACCGAGGCGGCGCCCGCACGGAGGCCCCGGCAGAGGAGGCAGCAGCCCCGGCCGAGGAAGCGCCUGUCGACCCAGCGCAGCAGCAGACCGACGUCCAACACACAGCAGAAGAAGUCGUGGCAGGCGAAGGGGCUGAGCAGGAUCCCGCCGCUGCCGCGGAGGAGGAAGCGGCCGCCGACGAGCCUGCAGACAAGCGUCGCCCCGGAGUCGGAAUCGGAGGCAAGAGGCGCGUCAUGCUCAACCGCUUCAACAAGAACCGCAGCUCCGCCCCAGCAGCACCACGACGCCGCAGCCCAAGCGCGCCCCGUCGUCCAACAACCGCCGCACGGCACUCACGUCGCUCUUCAACCGAAGGAACCGCCGCCCCGGAAGAAGGAACAAGGGAGCCGCAGAGGAAGAGCCUGCUGCAGAGGAGCCCGUAGACGCCGCAGAGCAGGAAGCGCCCGUCGAGGAUGACAAUCAAGUAGCAGAAGCCCAUCUGGCCGCCGUGGAGGAGCAGGUCGUGGCGGAGGAGCCCGUCGUGGAGUCGGAGGCGCCCGCAGAGGAGGCCGCCGAGGAAGGAGGUCCUAAGCGCGGCCGGACACGCCCCGGCCUCAGCUCGCUCUUCAACCGGCGAAGGAGACUCAACCGGAGAAGAGAAGAGGAGUAGAGCGGAGGUGGAAGAGGCACCGUAACUGAUCGCCACCUCUUCCUCUGUUCCACGAAAGAGGAAGCGGAAAGGACAUGAUAACGACGACGAUGGAAAGGAGAAGGAAGACAGAAGGAAGAGUGUGUUUUCGUGUCCGGUCUUCGUGUUCGUUCCCGUCUUCUUCCUUGGGAGUCGGAAGAAGGAGAGAGAUUUAGAGAAGAAAAUCUCUCUACGUUUUUUAUAUAUAAUUCUCUUUCUUUCUCUCUCUCUCUCUUAUUUUCUUUCUUCUUCUCUCGAAAUCCCAGUUUCCGGUCCGUCCCUUCCCAUCUAUACGAUAGAAAACCCAAGAAAACAAAUGAACGAUGUCAACAGAGAAAAAAAAACAAGAGAACAUCGCUCAUGACGGAACAAUUUCCUUAUUUCACCGUCACUUUUCUUUUAUUUUUCGUCAAUCAACCUUUUUCCCUUCAUAUUCAUCCUUAAAAUCGUUCUCACCUUCCAUAUAUAUAAUUUUUCUUUGAAUGAAGCAAAGAAAACCUUCAUUGAGUGAAACGCGUGGUCACUUCACCCAAAGAAACCGAAUUGCACUCAUAUAAGAUAUUUUAUCACGGCCACGCUUUAAGAAUCCCACCUUGACUUAAUUAGGUUAGCAUCGGAAUCAGACGAUCGGUUAAUAAAGUAAAUAUAGUGAUAAUUCAUACAUUCUGCUCUUCAAUCAUCAAGAACAUAAGAAACGUUUUUUUUUAAUGUUAGUAAUAUGCUUUGUUUUAUUUUUCUUUCUUUUAUUUUCUUUCGUUGCAUAUGUAUAUCCUGAUCCCAUAUCUCACUCCUGGGACUGAUGAAAAAAAUAAUCGUUAUUUUGCCUUGUGAUAUAUCUACAAACAUCUUUUCUUUCUCUUUUCUUUUUGUAUUGUAUCUAUAUAUAUCUUUUUUUUUCUCCCGUCCCACCUACCUCCCUCCCUUCCCCUUACCCCAUGUGCUCCCCCUCCCCCUCCCCCCUCCUUGUAGAUAGCAGUUUCAUUUGAAUCUAUUUAAUUUGUAAACUGUAAAUAUUUUGUAUCUGUUUAUGUUUACUUUCUUUUUUAUCUUCUUCUACAAGGGGAAAAUUACUGUUUAGUUUAGUGAAGUAAUUCAUCCCCCCCCCCUUUUUUUAGUCUUUAAUGACGUAUAUAUAUAUAUAAUCACACGUGAUUCGUUAUAUAAUAGGAAAAUAGGUAAUUGGUUCCUUAAAACAGUUUUCGAAAUAUUUUUCACUUCCAUCAGACUCUCGAAUUCUAAAAAAAAAAAAUAAAGAAAAUAUACUGCAGCAGUAAACAGAUAAUUUUGGCCGAUUUUUUUUGCAUUCAGUUAAAAAUAAUUUCCUAACUCAUUUUUCGGCUUCAAAGAUUUGGCCAUUCUUAUUGACAAAUCUUUGUAUGCCAAGACUGAGUGACUUGACGAAUGAAACUAGCUUUGUUCAUAAUUAAACCCCUUUUUGACCUCUGCGAGUGUCUCUCAUCGUAAUAUUGGAAUAGUCACCCCUCGGAAAAUAUAAAACGUUUUCUCUCUCCUCAGAAACAUUAACACAGACUCUUUUGUACAAUUCGUCUUUGUAUAUCACUUAAAACAAGAAAAAAAAUCCAUAAUUGAUGAAUUCGGCAUUGAUCUUAGAACAAAAUAUUAAAAAUAAAAUUAUAUGAAUAUCUACAAUCCUGCUCACGGAGGAGAAUUUUCAAAAAAGUCCCUCUACCGCGCUUGUCGUGUGAGAAAUAAACGAUUCUGAGCCUAAUGUACAGUUUUAUAUAAUAAUGCUAAUGAUAAUUGCUCACGAGCGCCCACGAAAGAACCAACCGACCGGCGCUGGGAUAGAGGACCCCCCCCAAACCCCCCUCCCCCAUCCACCCCUUCCCUCCUCGUGAGCUGGAUGAAGCUCCGCCCACAUCUUGUAUCUAGUGGGCGUGGCUUGUCAACAGCCCCGCCUUCCACUCUCUGUAUCUAUCUAUAUAUAUGUAUGUUCGUUUAGGAAAUAUGAUAAGAGAAGGCGGGGUUACUAGCUCGGAGUCAAACUCUGGGUGGUGCCAAUAUCUCUUCAAGUCUGUGUAUAGUGCCUUUGUAAAUAAACAAUGUGGUUACUCUAUUGCUUGAAA
Penaeus vannamei (Pacific white shrimp) is the source of this 2777-nucleotide non-coding RNA. NCBI's taxonomy places the organism in Eukaryota, Metazoa, Arthropoda, Malacostraca, Decapoda, Penaeidae. The record is from RefSeq and is a predicted model, not a curated record.